AUAUACCUAAACUUAAAAAACCAAUAACUUAUAAGUCACCAUCUCUCCACUGCAUCUUGUGUACCCUCGAGUCUACCUCCUCUCUCUUUGUGGUCCUUAAUGUCUACCUCUCUUUCUCAUCAUUUUCUGUGAUCCCUCACAUUACCCCCCUUGGUGCAGCCUGGCAGCUCUUCUUUCUCUCACGUUACGUGGUCCCAUGCAACCACUCUCCCCUCAACUUUUUCCAUUGCUUUGUUGUUUUUCGUUUUCCCCUCCUUACCCCAUUUUAGUCAAACUCUCUCUAUAUACCUAAACUUAAAAAACCAAUAACUUCUAAGUCACCAUCUCUCCACUCCAACCACCUGUAGCAACGUGUUCGUCUCCUCUUCUAGCCACCACCUCCCCUUCUCACCAUCAGAAUUAAGUGGCGACCUGAGCGGCCACCUCCUACUCUCUCUACUCUCGCACACCAAGUAACGAUUGACUGCCACCUCACCCCUCGAUUGUACCCAUCUCGCACCUUCUGAUCUCCACCUCUGCUGUCCUCUCACUUUGCGAUCCAACUGCCAUCGCCUGUGACCAGGCCAUCCAUUCCUUGUCGCUUGCAACCUAACUCCCCAGUCCUCCUCUUCAUCUAUCUGUAACCAGGCCCCAAACCUUGCUCCGCCACUUAACCCUCUGCCAUCAGCACCACUCAUCACCGUGCGCCAUCCCUUCCCCCACCAUCUCCGUCACUUCAGCUACCCUCUCCCUGUUCUGCCAUCUGCUGCACGCGGCUGCUCCCGUCUUCUUCACUACUGCACAACAGCCACCGCCGUGUCUCUCAACCUGCUCACGCAGUCCUACCUCUGUUGUAGCCACCUACCUGUCUCCGCCACCCAACUCCGCCUUUUCCUCUACCCUUGCUCCCCUCUUCUCAACCUCCUCACUGCCCGCAUUCACCUGCUGCUGCUCUCUCUUUGUUGCCCUCUCCCUACCGUUUGCCAUUUCCGCCCCAUCCAUGUCAUUUUUUCUCUGUCUCUGCCUCCUCUCUCACUACCACCUGCCAUCUCUCGCACCUCGCAUGCUCUCACUUUCUUAUUUCCCUCACGACAUUUUCUCUCCCUAAAAAAC
This 1092-nucleotide long non-coding RNA is filed under the name Amborella trichopoda. RNAcentral's name for it is "long non-coding RNA (ATRI_LNC003716)". The record is from RNAcentral. Lineage: Eukaryota; Viridiplantae; Streptophyta; Magnoliopsida; Amborellales; Amborellaceae.